RNAcentral lists this ribosomal RNA (252 nucleotides) under uncultured bacterium. RNAcentral's name for it is "partial 16S ribosomal RNA". It matches the Rfam family "Bacterial small subunit ribosomal RNA", at positions 528 to 779 of the family's 1533-position model. The record is from RNAcentral.
CGUAGGGCAAGCGUUGUCCGGAUUUAUUGGGCGUAAAGAGCGUGUAGGCGGCCAGACAGGUCCGUUGUGAAACUGGAGGCUUAACCUCCAGACGUCGAUGGAAACCGUCUGGCUAGAGUCCGGAAGAGGAGAGUGGAAUUCCUGGUGUAGCGGUGAAAUGCGCAGAUAUCAGGAAGAACACCCGUGGCUAAGGCGGCUCUCUAGUACGGUACUGACGCUGAGACGCGAAAAGCGUGGGGAGCGAACAGGAUU